This is a long non-coding RNA of Mus musculus (house mouse), 1505 nucleotides long. RefSeq annotates it as predicted gene, 38628. NCBI's taxonomy places the organism in Eukaryota, Metazoa, Chordata, Mammalia, Rodentia, Muridae. The record is from RefSeq and is a predicted model, not a curated record. The transcript is spliced from 2 exons.
AGGAGCAGCAGGAAGAAGGUGAAAUGUUGCAGCUUAUCUACCACUCUUACUGUGUCAGGAGUGGUGUGACCCUUCUAUGCCUCUUAGUAUUUGUUUUCUGAAGCAAGGAGGCUCAAGAUUCAGUACAGAAAUAUUUACAUUUGUUGCAAUGUCUGGAUAAAUUUACCUUUUAUUAAUUUACUGUGGUUUUCUUUUCCUCUUCUGCUACACUAUGUCGGCUCUCUGCUGGCAGGUCCAGGCGAGAGGAGAGAGCCUGGUCCAGCCAAGUCUCUCUGGGACUGGUGAGAUGGAUCUGUGCACUGCUGAGGUUGGAGAGCCAUGGCUGGAAGAUAUGGGGCCACCCUCCCUCAGCCCAGCAAGGCUUAAUUGCAGCAGCAGCCUUUCAGGUUCUCCACUGAAUCUGGAGCUGGAAAACUGCCUUGGGGAGUCCUGCCAGGGCCCUUGGCCAAUGGAAACAGCACUCCCUGUCACAGGCACUGGAGUGUGCAAAGGAGGCAGAGAGAAAGUCAGAGGCUUUGUCUGGCUUCCCAAGAGAGACAGGGGUCCUGCACUCAACUCAGUAACUGAGUGGCUACUGGCCAGCUGCCUUUGGAAAGUAAGUGAGCCAUUUCAGCAUGGCCCUUUGUAAUUCAGGACUGAGUUACAGGGACUGGAAAUUAAAACUAUAAGUGGAGCCUCAGACCACAGGGAGUAGGGUCGUGGGCCUGCCAGCUUCCUGGCACAGUGCCCGAAUGCUUGCAGUACUUGAUAAAACUCACUAACAUUUAGUCGAGAGCAGUAAAAUGUGAAUAAGAUGGAGAUGAAUGCUCCAUAGGGGCAGGGAGAAAUCCAGGAGCAGAUGGUGUGAUAGGAUUCGAGGCAGCAGUGCAGGGUGAGCUCUUGACAACUGCCCUGUGGCUAGGGUGGAGUCUCCUGAAGAGGGAGGAAAGGAGGGAGUCUGCCACACCUCGCCAUGGCAGCGGACUCCUUUAGGGGGUCUUAGGGAUGAAGCCACUACAUUUGUGCUGUUCAAAGCACUACUAGUUAGUCAACAUCCAUUCAAAGCACUUUAAAAGCUCACUUUCUCCUCCUCCCUCUCCCUCCUCUCCCUCCUUCAUCCCCUAUCUCCUCUUUAUUCUCUUGCUGUUUUCCUCAUCAGCUCCUUCUGCAGGAGAAGAAACAGGAUCACUUACAAGGGAAAAAAAUAGCCAUAUUCCACCAGGCGGUCACUUCACAGCAGGCUUCACAUCGUAGAGUAAGCACAGAACUAUGCAGCAGUAGACAGAACAGGUUUAAAAAAUGUUUAGAAGCUGAACAGCCUGGUAGCUGGGGGGAAGAAGUCUGCAAGCAGGAACUGGGAGGGGAUAGCAUUUGGGAUGUAAAUAAAUAAGUAAAUUAAUUAAUUAAUGAAGAUGUAUGCUCUCAGCUUCUCCUGCCACCUGCCCACUGCUUGUUGUUAUUCUUCUCCAUCAUGAUGGACUCAGCCUUCUGGAACUAUAAGCCCAAAUAAACUCUUCUUUCUAUAA